This 279-nucleotide ribosomal RNA is filed under the name uncultured bacterium. Its description in RNAcentral is "partial 16S ribosomal RNA". It matches the Rfam family "Bacterial small subunit ribosomal RNA", at positions 506 to 784 of the family's 1533-position model. The record is from RNAcentral.
UGCCAGCAGCCGCGGUAAGACAGAGGGUGCAAACGUUGUUCGGAAUUACUGGGCGUAAAGCGCGUGUAGGCUGUUACGCAAGUCGGAUGUGAAAGCCCAGGGCUCAACCCUGGAAGUGCAUUCGAAACUGCGUGACUGGAAUCUCGGAGAGGGUAGCGGAAUUCUGGGUGUAGAGGUGAAAUUCGUAGAUAUCCAGAGGAACACCGGUGGCGAAGGCGGCUACCUGGGACGGAACUGACGCUGAUGAACGAAAGCUAGGGUAUCAAACGGGAUUAGAUA